Molecule: non-coding RNA, 29 nt
Filed under: Rattus norvegicus (Norway rat)
Lineage: Eukaryota; Metazoa; Chordata; Mammalia; Rodentia; Muridae
Source: RNAcentral
UCCCCCUACACAUGAGGUGGCCUCCCAGU